This 900-nucleotide ribosomal RNA is filed under the name uncultured archaeon. RNAcentral's name for it is "bacterial SSU rRNA". It matches the Rfam family "Archaeal small subunit ribosomal RNA", at positions 1 to 922 of the family's 1478-position model. The record is from RNAcentral.
UUCCGGUUGAUCCUGCCGGAGGCGACCGCUUUGGGAGUUCGAUUAAGCCAUGCGAGUCGUGAGUCUUAGGGACUCGGCAUACUGCUCAGUAACACGUGGAUAACCUGCCCUAUCGUCUGGAAUAACCUCGGGAAACUGAGAAUAAGGCCGGAUAGUUCACAAUGCCUGGAACGGUUUGUGAAUCAAGGUAGGAUGGGUCUGCGGCGUAUCAGGUUGUAGGGGGUGUAAAGGACCCCCUAGCCUUCGACGCGUACGGGUGUUGGGAGACAUAGCCCGGAGAUGGAUUCUGAGACACGAAUCCAGACCCUACGGGGUGCAGCAGGCGCGAAAACUUCACACUGCAGGAAACUGUGAUGAGGGAACUCCUAGUGCAUGCACUAUGUGUAUGUAGAUCCUACUCUUAACAAGUAGAGGGAAAGGGCUGGGAAAGACCGGUGCCAGCCGCCGCGGUAAUACCGGCAGCUCAAGUGGUCGUCGCUUUUAUUGGGCCUAAAACGUCCGUAGCCUGUUUGGUAAAUCUGUGGGUAAAUCAACUCGCUCAACGAGUUGAAUUCUGCAGAGACUGCCAGACUAGGGACCGGGAGAGGUGUGGGGUACUCGAGGGGUAGGGGUAAAAUCCUGUCAUCCUCUGAGGACCACCAGUUGCGAAGGCGCCACACUGGAACGGAUCCGACGGUCAGGGACGAAGCCUAGGGGCACGAACCGGAUUAGAUACCCGGGUAGUCCUAGGUGUAAACGCUGUGAACUUGGUGUCGGGGGUCCGCAAGGGGUCCCCGGUGCCGGAGUGAAGAUGUUAAGUUCACUGCCUGGGGAGUACGGUCGCAAGGCUGAAACUUAAAGGAAUUGGCGGGGGAGCACUGCAACGGGAGGAGCGUGCGGUUUAAUUGGAUCAACGCCGGA